UGCUCUAUUGAAGAAGUUAAUUUUUUUUUUUCUUCUUUAUCGCUCUUCAUUUUUAUGUUAACUUUUAAGCAUUAGUUGCUUCGCGAGCAACAAUCAGAAGUAAGAUUAAUUAAGCUUUGUUCAGACAGACUUAAGAAGAUUUUUAGGAAUAGCGGUUAUAAAGAAUGAAGGUCUAUGCUUUGAUAGUAAUCUUAAUUCUGCUGGACUUGUUUUACUGCCAACCGCUAGAAGCAUUCAUAGCUGGCAAGCUUCUUCAUAAGAAAGCUCGUAUCAAAACAAAGGCUAAAGACAAGAAAUUUAUACUUUACGGUGUUGGUGCUGUAGUAAAGGGUACAAAGGGAACUGCGCAGAAAGUAAUCGGUAAACCUCUGAAAGUGAUUGGGGUCGUGUUGGGCCCACUGGGUGUUCCCUUGAAGAUUGCUGGUAAAGUCCUUGAGGGAAAAGCUGUAGCAAACAAAGUGAAAUCUAGUGUGUUAACUGUGAAAAAGUUAGCUAGAGAUUCCACUCGUUAUGGUUGAAUAUUUCAGGUUCUUUCCUGAGAAUUCCUGUGGAUCUUCAUCUUCAACAUUUAGUUAUUAACAAGCUCCACAUUUUUAGCGUAUGAGCAAAUUUUAACAUAUGAUAAUUUUAACAGAACUGUAUAUAUUUUCUCUUUUUGCUUUAUUGUUGACUUCAGAAAUAUAUUUCUCAUUCAAUAAAGUUGUGUGA
Long non-coding RNA from Stegodyphus dumicola, 708 nucleotides. The record is from RefSeq and is a predicted model, not a curated record. NCBI's taxonomy places the organism in Eukaryota, Metazoa, Arthropoda, Arachnida, Araneae, Eresidae.